GAUGAACGCUGGCGGCGUGCCUAACACAUGCAAGUCGAGCGAAGCGCCUUACUUGAUUUCUUCGGGAUGAAAGUAUUGUGACUGAGCGGCGUCGGUGAGGUACGCUGUAGUAACUGCUCAUACAGGGGAUAACAGUUAGAAAUGACUGGCUAAUACCGCAUAAGACCACAGCACCGCAUGGUGCUAGGGGUAAAAACUCCCGGUGGUAUGAGAUGGAGUCCGCCGUCUGAUUAGCUAGUUGGUAACGGUAACGGCUUACCAAGGCAACCGAUCAGUUAGGCCGACCUGAGAGGGUCGACCGGCCACCAGUUGGGACUGGAGACACGGCCCAA
Molecule: ribosomal RNA, 332 nt
Filed under: uncultured bacterium
Lineage: Bacteria
Description: bacterial SSU rRNA
Rfam family: Bacterial small subunit ribosomal RNA
Source: RNAcentral